RNAcentral lists this small RNA (1204 nucleotides) under Pan troglodytes (chimpanzee). RNAcentral describes it as "retained intron". The record is from RNAcentral. Lineage: Eukaryota; Metazoa; Chordata; Mammalia; Primates; Hominidae.
ACACAAGAAGGUAGGAGAGAAAAGCCAUGGCUGACAAGUUCCUGAAGGAGAAGAGAAAGCUGUUUAUCCGUUCCAUGGGUGAAGGUACAAUAAAUGGCUUACUGGAUGAAUUAUUACAGACAAGAGUGCUGAACCAGGAAGAGAUGGAGAAAGUAAAACGUGAAAAUGCUACAGCUAUGGAUAAGACUCGAGCUUUGAUUGACUCCGUUAUUCCGAAAGGGGCACAGGCAUGCCAAAUUUGCAUCACAUACAUUUGUGAAGAAGACAAUUACCUGGCAGGGACGCUGGGACUCUCAGCAGAUCAAACAUCUGGAAAUUACCUUAAUAUGCAAGACUCUCAAGGAGUACUUUCUUCCUUUCCAGCUCCUCAGGCAGUGCAGGACAACCCAGCUAUGCCCACAUCCUCAGGCUCAGAAGGGAAUGUCAAGCUUUGCUCCCUAGAAGAAGCGCAAAGGAUAUGGAAAGAAAAGUCGGCAGAGGUGCCAUGCUCAGAACACAAGGAUAGAGUGGGGUGAAAGAAACACUUCAGGCAGUUCUGAAAUGCAGUGGCUUAUUCUUAGAGUCAACUUCAUUAAGCAGUUCUAGAGAAUCAUACUUCUGCUCCCCUUACAUAAAGGAUUUCUAUAUCCUAGAAUCCCAGGUUUAUAGAAAGAGGUCCAAAUUGGAUCCACUUCCUCGGUAAAUAACAUCAGUAAUGACAGCUAUUGAAUGCUUAUUAAGAAUGGGCAUUGUUCUAAGCAUUUUGCACAUGAUAAUACAUAAUUUUUAACCUUAAACACAACCCAUUUUAGAGAUCAAGAAGCUGAGACAGGGGAUUGUUAAAUAUUUUUCCCAAAGAAAAACAAUCAGAAAUUGGAACAAUCAGUUUUAGAAUUCAGUCAUUUUUGCUUCAAAGCUUGUGCAUCUUUCAAAAUCCUACCUAUCAAGAACAAUGAAGUCAGAAGCUCAGCUGCCACCUGGGCAUUUGCAAUGUCCAUGCAUACUCUUGAAGCAGCAUUCAAUUCUGUUCCCCCUUUCCAAUGUAUGGUUCAUGGGGUUUGGCAUCUUGAUAGGACUAAGGAAGGGGAAGCUGUCAUAAACCAGCAAGGGAAAUAUUUAAUUGGAAAGAACAAGGCUGUUCAUUCAAAUUGCAUUUCCUACAGAUUUAUCCAAUAAUGGACAAGUCAAGCCGCACACGCCUUGCUCUCAUUAUCUGCAAUGAAGA